UACGUAGGGUGGCAAGCGUUGUCCGGAUUUAUUGGGUUUAAAGGGUGCGUAGGCGGUCUUAUAAGUCAGUGGUGAAAUACGGCAGCUCAACUGUCGAGGUGCCAUUGAUACUGUAGGACUUGAGUACAGACGAGGUAGGCGGAAUUGACGGUGUAGCGGUGAAAUGCUUAGAUAUCGUCAAGAACACCGAUAGCGAAGGCAGCUUACUAGGCUGUAACUGACGCUGAGGCACGAAAAGUGUGGGGAUCAAACAGG
Molecule: ribosomal RNA, 255 nt
Filed under: uncultured bacterium
Lineage: Bacteria
Description: partial 16S ribosomal RNA
Rfam family: Bacterial small subunit ribosomal RNA
Source: RNAcentral